Pistacia vera is the source of this 314-nucleotide long non-coding RNA. RefSeq lists it as uncharacterized. Lineage: Eukaryota; Viridiplantae; Streptophyta; Magnoliopsida; Sapindales; Anacardiaceae. The record is from RefSeq and is a predicted model, not a curated record. The transcript is spliced from 2 exons.
CGCUACGAUUUCUUUCUCUUAUCUAAUAUUGCUCUUGUGCUUAACUUUUUUUUAUCUGUUAUCCCUCUGUAGCCUGUACGAGAUCAUUUCAAAAAUGAUGCUAAUGCCCAGGAUCUGCUGAAACGUGUUAAGGGUUACAGAGUUACUAGGUGAUGCAGAGGAUGUUCACUUGCCCUGUCUUACCAAGGAUUACUUAAAAUUGUUUACAAAUAUAUUUUUCUUCAGUUAUAAAAUUUCGUAUAAUUAGAUUAUUGUUCGAUUAUUUAUACAUUAAAAUGAUAAUUGCUUGUAGAUGAACGGAAUUUUUACAUUGA